RNAcentral lists this ribosomal RNA (681 nucleotides) under Oxyrrhis marina. Its description in RNAcentral is "partial Bacterial large subunit ribosomal RNA". It matches the Rfam family "Bacterial large subunit ribosomal RNA", at positions 461 to 1146 of the family's 2925-position model. The record is from RNAcentral. Lineage: Eukaryota; Dinophyceae; Oxyrrhinales; Oxyrrhinaceae.
CAAGCCUAAGUACUCCUUACCGACCGAUAGUGAACUAGUACCGUGAGGGAAAGAUGAAAAGUACCCCGAUGAGGGGAGUGAAACAGUACCUGAAACCGGAUGCUUACAAGCUGAGGGAGCUCUUCGGAGUGACCUCGUACCUUUUGUAUAAUGGGUCAACGACUUAGUGUUGCAUGCAAGCUUAAACCGUUAGGUGUAGGCGUAGCGAAAGCGAGUCUGAAUAGGGCGACGAGUUCGAGGGAUAAGACCCGAAACCGAGUGAUCUAGCCAUGUGCAGGAUGAAGGUGGGGUAACACCCACUGGAGGUCCGAACCAGUGCCCGUUGAAAAGGUCUUGGAUGACGUGUGGCUAGGGGUGAAAGGCCAAUCAAACUCGGAUAUAGCUGGUUCUCCGCGAAAUCUAUUUAGGUAGAGCGUCGAUCGAAUACUCUUGGGGGUAGAGCACUGACUGGGCUAGGGGUCCUCACCGGAUUACCAAACCUUAUCAAACUCCGAAUACCAAGAAGUACUAAUCGGCAGACACACGGCGGGUGCUAACGUCCGUCGUGGAGAGGGAAACAACCCUGACCACCAAUUAAGGUCCCCAAAUAAUGGCUAAGUGUGAAAGGAUGUGGGAUUGCUUUGACAAUGAGGAGGUUGGCUUAGAAGCAGCCAUCCUUUAAAGAAAGCGUAACAGCUCACU